Unclassified non-coding RNA from Callithrix jacchus (white-tufted-ear marmoset), 299 nucleotides. It matches the Rfam family "Metazoan signal recognition particle RNA". Rfam says of the family: The signal recognition particle (SRP) is a universally conserved ribonucleoprotein. It is involved in the co-translational targeting of proteins to membranes. The eukaryotic SRP consists of a 300-nucleotide 7S RNA and six proteins: SRPs 72, 68, 54, 19, 14, and 9. Lineage: Eukaryota; Metazoa; Chordata; Mammalia; Primates; Cebidae. The record is from Ensembl.
ACCGGGCACAGAGGCACAUGCCUGUAGUCCCAGCUACUCAGGAGGUUGAGGUGGGAGGAUCGCUUGAGCCCAGGAGUUCUGGGCUGUAGUGCCCUAUGCCAAUCUGGUAUCUGCACUAAGUUUGGCAUCAAUAUGGUGACCUCCCAGGAGCGGGGACCACCAGGUUGCCUAAGGAGGAGUGAACCGGCCCAGGUUGGAAACGGAGUAGGUCAAAACUCCCGUGCUGAUCAGUAGUGGGAUCAUGCCUGUGAAUAGCCACUGCACUCCAGCCUGGGCAACAUAGUGAGACCCCAUCUCUA